AGAAUCAACGCUGGCGGCGUGCCUAACACAUGCAAGUCGCACGAGAAAGGGACUUCGGUCCUGAGUAAAGUGGCGCACGGGUGAGUAACACGUGAAUAAUCUACCUCCGAGUGGGGAAUAACUGAGAGAAAUCUUAGCUAAUACCGCAUAAUACCCACGGGUCAAAGCAGCAAUGCGCUUGGAGAGGAGUUCGCGGCCGAUUAGCUAGUUGGCGGGGUAAUGGCCCACCAAGGCGAUGAUCGGUAUCCGGCCUGAGAGGGCGCACGGACACACUGGAACUGAAACACGGUCCAGACUCCUACGGGAGGCAGCAGUGGGGAAUUUUGCGCAAUGGGGGAAACCCUGACGCAGCAACGCCGCGUGGAGGAUGAAGUAUCUUGGUACGUAAACUCCUUUCGAUAGGGAAGAUAAUGACGGUACCUAUAGAAGAAGCCCCGGCUAACUUCGCGCCAGCAGCCGC
This 460-nucleotide ribosomal RNA is filed under the name uncultured bacterium. RNAcentral describes it as "SSU rRNA". It matches the Rfam family "Bacterial small subunit ribosomal RNA", at positions 26 to 518 of the family's 1533-position model. The record is from RNAcentral.